This 117-nucleotide ribosomal RNA is filed under the name Chloroflexota bacterium. The record is from RNAcentral. Lineage: Bacteria; Bacillati; Chloroflexota.
UCCGGCGUCCUGAGCGAGAUGGUCCCACCCGUUCCCAUCCCGAACACGGAAGUGAAACGUCUCAGCGCCGACGAUACUGUGAGGGCAACCUUACGGGAAAAUAGGUCGAUGCCGGGA